AUUUGUCUGGUUAAUUCCGAUAACGAACGAGACCUUAACCUGCUAACUAGAUACUUUUAUUCUAUAAUUGUCAUCUUCUUAGAGGGACUAUGUAAUUAAAAUACAUGGAAGUUUGAGGCAAUAACAGGUCAGUGAUGCCCUUAUAUGUCCUGGGCUGCACGCGUGCUACACUGAUGCAUACAACAAGUGCCUAACCGGACAUGGUACGGCAAUCUCGAAUAUGCAUCGUGAUGGGGAUAGAUCUUUGCAAUUAUAGAUCUUGAACGAGGAAUUCCUAGUAAGUGCAAGUCAUCAUCUUGCAUUGAUUAUGUCCCUGCCCUUUGUACACACCGCCCGUCGCUCCUACCGAUACCGGGUGAUCCGGUGAACCUUUUGGACUCAUUGAGAAAGAUAAGUAAACCAUAUCACCUAGAGGAAGGAGAAGUCGUAACAAGGUUUCCGUAGGUGAACCUGCRGAAGGAUCA
Molecule: ribosomal RNA, 464 nt
Filed under: uncultured ciliate
Lineage: Eukaryota; Ciliophora
Description: SSU rRNA
Rfam family: Eukaryotic small subunit ribosomal RNA
Source: RNAcentral